AAAAGGAUGCAUUUAGAACCAGAAGAGACCCCACUAGACAAGCUGGAGUUGUCCCCCCAGCCCAACUCUAGGUCACGUUGCGUGGAUGCCCCCUGCUGGUCCAAGGGGGAGCUUCCUGCACCCCAGAGGGCACCAAGGAAGACCAGGGGGCGGGCCUGGGGGCCAGGGGCUUCUUGUCCAGCACCAACUUGGCUGGCCUCUGAGGCAGCAAGGCCACCCAGGGGAUAUCGAACCAGAUCCUGUGUCCCUAGAGGAGGGGCAGUGAGGGAAGGUCUCUGGCUGUGACCCAGCUGCAUGGUGCCCCUCGCUGGGCAACCCAGUCACAUCUCUGUGACUCCACCCAGGAAAGACUGCCCCCUGUCCUGGGGGGCAGUGACCCCGCCGAGGGUUGGCUGGCUGGGGCCGUCCCCUGUCAAACCACCUCCAGAAGGCCCCAGGGAGAGUCCGGGGACACAGCAGACCUGACCCCACCUGCCUCCUUCCGAACUUCCUUUGCUCCUCAGAAGCCUUAGAGGCUGCCUGACAGCUGCCCUUGCGUCGCCCUCUGGUGUAUCCCUGCUCCUGCCCUGAGCUACUCAGACCUGAAGGACAUCCUUUUUCCUUUCACUUCCUGUGGAAAAGUGAACAAAACACAAGCUUACUGUGCAACAAGUGCACAGUAAGCUUGUUAGGAAGUGAAUGCCGAGAAGCAGCCUUUUGAGUUCCUGUUCUCANNNNNNNNNNNNNNNNNNGUUGAAUUUUUUUUUUUUUUUUUUUUGGGGUAUUGAGUAGUGAAGAGUAUUUCCUUUUUUUGGCUACCCUUGUGGCAUAUGCAAGUUCCAGGGCCAGGGAUUGAAUCUGAGCCACAGCUGCAACCUGUGCUACAGCUGUGGCAGUGUUAGAUGCUUGACACACUGCAUCACAGAAACUCCUAUAGAGAGUAUUUCUUAUAUACAGUUUUCUUAGAUUGGGUUCUUUCGAAGCAAAACCUUGCAGUUCCCUAGUGGAUUGGCCGGUUAAGGAUCUGGCGUUGUUGCUACUGUGGCUCAGGUCACUGAUGUGUGGGUUUGAUCCCACUGCUUCUUCAUGCUGUGGGCAUGGCCAAAAAAAAAAAACAAAAACAAAAAAACAAAAACACAGUAGGAUAACCUGGAGCAGGGCUCUUGGGCGAGUGAUUUAUGUUUAUGGAGGGCACGUCCUCAGGGAAGCAGGAGGGCGCAAAGGAAAACAAAGGGCAGAAGUGGGCCCAGCCAGAGGCCAGCGUGGGCCUGAUCCCACGGGGACUCUGGUGUGCCACUGGUCCCUAGAGUUGGUUUUGCUUUGCGGGGACCAGUCUUAUGUGCCUCAGAUCAGCCAGGGCACCAACGGCCACUCUGAAGUCCCCUCUGAAGUCUGAUGUGCUCAGAUCCACUUGUUUCUCACAUUACGUUCAGUCCAUUCAGACCCAGACUCUUCAGGCUUCUGACUGGUCAGGAAUCUGGAGGAACUUCCAAAUGAGUAGAGGGGUGAACUCAGUGGCCCCCGCUGCUGCAGGUGGCUACAAAGCCACAACCAAUACCCACCACCCAUUCUAGAUUUCUCUUCCUCAUGGCUCGCCCUUUGGCUCUUCUAGAUGGUUCACUCCUGAAGUCUGAGAACCCGGGAGCCUGCCCUUAGCAGGCCAUGUGGCCAUGCUUGUCUGCUUAUGCCUGCUGGGUAUGGGUGUAUCCAGAGCUCACUGCUGCUCUGAAUGCCUGAGUGCCAAACACACUCCUGCCUGCCCCCAUCAUGUGACUGGUAGCCCUGCAUCCAGUAAUGGGGGUUGGGAUUUCUCAUUGUGGCUCAGUGGGUUACAAAUCCAACUAAUAUCCAUGAGGAUUCGGGUUUGAUCCCUGGCGUCGCUCAGUGGGUUAAGGAUCUGGUGUUGCCUUGAGCUGUGGUGUAGACUGGCAGCUGCAGCUCCAAUUCGACCCCUACCCUGGGAACUUCCAUAUGCCCUGGAUGCAGCCCUAAAAAGACAAAAAAAAAAA
RNAcentral lists this long non-coding RNA (1988 nucleotides) under Sus scrofa (pig). RNAcentral describes it as "lncRNA (ENSSSCG00025076863.1)". The record is from RNAcentral. Lineage: Eukaryota; Metazoa; Chordata; Mammalia; Artiodactyla; Suidae.